ACGGCGCGGUGAAUACGUUCCCGGGCCUUGUACACACCGCCCGUCAAGCCAUGGGAGCCGGGGGUACCUGAAGUGCGUAACCGCGAGGAUCGCCCUAGGGUAAAACUGGUGACUGGGGCUAAGUCGUAACAAGGUAAC
RNAcentral lists this ribosomal RNA (138 nucleotides) under uncultured bacterium. Its description in RNAcentral is "partial 16S ribosomal RNA". It matches the Rfam family "Bacterial small subunit ribosomal RNA", at positions 1354 to 1500 of the family's 1533-position model. The record is from RNAcentral.